AGCCCGCCUGCCACGUCAGUUUGCCUCCACCAUCCUCCCUCUCGCACUCUCUCUUUCUGCUUCUUUGCUUUUUUCGCAAAAUGCGGCCGAUACCAAAUGCCCCAUUUGUGGCUGGCUUUGGCCGGACUAAGGCCGUUGCACUAGAGUUCAUCUUUAGUUGUGUUUUGUGGAGAUAUCUUUGAGGGGUCUUUUAUCGUCACACAGAGAGAGGAUACAACUGAAGGCUCAUUUGGUUAGCGACCUGUAGCUGAAGUGACCUCAUGGUCUUUCCUCCCAUCAGAGUCCUCCUUACCUCCCCCGCCUGCCCAGUGUUCAGACUACCUGUUCAUCAGGCUACAGUUGAACAGUAGUCUGCACAUUGGUUAGGCUGGGCUGGGACACCUACACAUCCAAACACCGAGGGUGAUGACGGCAAGUCUAAAGCUACGCACAAAAACUGCAUCAUCUUACUGCAUUCCUGUGUGCUGUGUCACCUCAGCUCGCCGUAUCACUGUAUCUCCAGUAUGAAAAAAACUAACACAGCACGGGAACAGAAAGUCCUCUCACCUCCUCAUCCUUGUACCAGGACAGGUUCUCCGCAGUCAGGACAAACCAGUACUCUUUGGAGCCUCCCUUCAUGAUGCUGAUGUUGAGGGUUAACCAGCCUUUCCGGAUCACCUGUGCAGAUGAAGAUGUAGCACAAAGAAAGGGUGGUAGGGAGAGAGGGGUACCAGGAGGAUGGAGGGAAAACAGCUUUAUCAAUCAGGCGUAUGCACUGGUGACAUGAGGGUCCCAUUAAUGUUUCAACAAUCAUACUGGGAUAUAAUUGAAACUAAUAAAAUCUGAAGUCCUUACCUGCUGCAUAACUGUAAAUAGGGUUGUCUUUUUACCUUUAUAUUCAAUUUAGGUUCUUGUGAUUUUUUAAAUAUGCACUCAAACAAAGUUUGAAACUUAGUUUUGAAAGUUGAGAAAAUACACAAUCAGUAGAAAACACUGUGUGCUAUAUGGCUAAAUGUACAGAAAAGCAUCAAUGCUUCAAAUUCUGAAUAUGUGAUGUAUUCCUUGUUUUGUUUUCAGUCAGCAGAAUAGAAAUCCUUAAACCAACAAACAGGUCCAGAUGGUGUCCAGACCAAGCUAUCUUCAAUACAGUGUCAGAGAUCGUAGGUCGGCGGUGGUAUGUUAGUGUCAGUGGGUCAGUAAAAGCUAACCUAUGUACUGGGUGUUAAAAAAAAAGCAGAGUUAGUGGAGUUAACUUUGAAAGGGGACACACAAAGCAGGGUGUACACACCCUCAUUAGGUAAAAAGAGGGAAGGAAUGAGUUUAAAAAAAAAAAGGUAUGGGGAGGAAAAAAGCUUAAAUACUGAGGAAAGAAAGCAGGUUUAGUAGAACUCCUGAAGGGGCUGAAAUCUAAACAGCAAACUUCAUAUUUUAAGAUGGAGAGGGAGCGAACACACGAGACAGAGCUGAAUCGAGAAAUCGCUCUGUGAAGACUAAACGGUUCAUUUUCUAGGAGCCUUUUAAGCUGCAAUGUCUCUCCAUAUAGGAAGAAAUUAAGGGUGUAGGGCUUUACUCUAUGUAAAAGAUGUGCUCCUAUAAUAAGUAAAGCUAGCUAGCUAAUAGAGUAAAAAAGGUUUCAGGUCUGCUGUAGACCUCUCGCCUGCACUCCCUCUCCAUCCAUUAGGGGACUAGAGUGAGUUAAGACCAAAAAAAAAGCUUCCAUUAGUUCAAAAGCACAAACAUAAACAUGAGAGAGAAUGACACAGGAGCUAUACGGGGAGUUUGCCUUGUCGAGGAGGUAACAUUAACUUUUCAGAACAAAGGAAAUGUUUUCAAUCCCCUGUAUUAAAGUCGGUGACCAAGUUCAUAUACAGAAAGAGGAAACCAUGAGAUAUGAGGGUGUUACAGAUGAGAUGCUUUUGUUUCUGCAUGAUUUUAAAGUAGUUGUGAACUGUCAAAGUUACAUCCAUGUCUGACCAGUGUAUGUGAUGCAGAUGAGUCAAUAAAGAUGUUUGAUUAGA
Long non-coding RNA from Labrus mixtus (cuckoo wrasse), 1997 nucleotides. RefSeq lists it as uncharacterized. Lineage: Eukaryota; Metazoa; Chordata; Actinopteri; Labriformes; Labridae. The record is from RefSeq and is a predicted model, not a curated record. The transcript is spliced from 2 exons.